GCACUUGUGAUAUAUGAGCGAAAAAUUGUAACCCCGAAUAAAAUAGAACUUUUGUUUCUCCAAAUAAAAUUUUUCCUCCCUUAAGAUCUCUUAAGAAUGAUGUUCCUAUGCAUGAAAUCUCUUUCUCUUCUGUUAGAUUGCCGAAUUCUCCCCCUUUUGCUAAGUCUUCUUUGUUUCUUUAUAGAGAAAAAUAUUGGUAGGUUUUUUUUAGAACUUGGAGUGGGAGAACGUGAGUUUUGAAGUGGAGUUUGAGGAAU
RNAcentral lists this long non-coding RNA (257 nucleotides) under Nicotiana benthamiana. Its description in RNAcentral is "long non-coding RNA (NBEN_LNC010511)". The record is from RNAcentral. Lineage: Eukaryota; Viridiplantae; Streptophyta; Magnoliopsida; Solanales; Solanaceae.